GUCUGCCAUUCAGUUGGUUAGAGCGUGGUGCUGAUAACGCCAAGGUUGCAGGUUCGAUCCCCGGAUGGGACA
This 72-nucleotide transfer RNA is filed under the name Podarcis lilfordi (Lilford's wall lizard). Its description in RNAcentral is "tRNA.Ile". The record is from RNAcentral. Lineage: Eukaryota; Metazoa; Chordata; Lepidosauria; Squamata; Lacertidae.